ACUCAAAUGAAUAGACGGGGGCCCGCACAAGCGGUGGAGCAUGUGGUUUAAUUCGACGCAACGCGCAGAACCUUACCAACUCUUGACAUGGCCGUUAAAGCUGCCGAGAGGCAGUGUCCCGCAAGGGGGCGGUUACAGGUGCUGCAUGGCUGUCGUCAGCUCGUGUCGUGAGAUGUUGGGUUAAGUCCCGCAACGAGCGCAACCCUUGUCCGUAGUUGCCAUCAGGUUGGGCUGGGCACUCUACGGGGACUGCCGGUGACAAGCCGGAGGAAGGUGGGGAUGACGUCAAGUCCUCAUGGCCCUUACGAGUUGGGCUACACACGUGCUACAAUGGUGGUGACAGAGGGCAGCCAGGCCGCGAGGCCGAGCGAAUCCCGAAAAGCCAUCUCAGUUCGGAUUGCACUCUGCAACUCGAGUGCAUGAAGGUGGAAUCGCUAGUAAUCGCGGAUCAGCACGCCGCGGUGAAUACGUUCCCGGGCCUUGUACACACCGCCCGU
This 497-nucleotide ribosomal RNA is filed under the name uncultured bacterium. Its description in RNAcentral is "partial 16S ribosomal RNA". It matches the Rfam family "Bacterial small subunit ribosomal RNA", at positions 899 to 1397 of the family's 1533-position model. The record is from RNAcentral.